RNAcentral lists this transfer RNA (75 nucleotides) under Ilumatobacteraceae bacterium. RNAcentral describes it as "tRNA-Cys". It matches the Rfam family "tRNA". Rfam says of the family: Transfer RNA (tRNA) molecules are approximately 80 nucleotides in length. Their secondary structure includes four short double-helical elements and three loops (D, anti-codon, and T loops). Lineage: Bacteria; Bacillati; Actinomycetota; Acidimicrobiia; Acidimicrobiales; Ilumatobacteraceae. The record is from RNAcentral.
GCAUGGUUACUCAAGUGGAAAGAGAGCUGAUUGCAAAUCAUCUAAACGGGAGUUCGAUUCUCCCACCAUGCUCCA